GCAGAGUGUCCAUGGGAGAUUGUCAGAGCUGGCGUAAGAACUUCUUGCUGUAAAGGAAGGAAAUGCUGGAGACCACAGCAACACCAACCACGACCCCAGAAGCAUCACCCUCCAAAGCGACAGUCCUCAGGCCCAACCUCUCGACCCUCCUGCUCCUCACUGGCUUAGUUCUGCUUUGGCAUGUGUUGACCCUAGCUUGAUCCACACAGAUAAUGUAAGUUACAACAUGGAGUUUGGAAGAACCUGAGUGAUACGGGAUAAAGAUGAAGGCUAACACACGAGCUUCUUCUUGAAAGCCACGUCUGAACAGAUCAUAGAGAUUGUGGUACAGUGCUGAGUCGUCUCCACGCAACCAGACAACACAGCGUGUGCAGGGCUUGGGGUGGUGCAGACUUUCUUUUUUGGCUGGCUUGCUUUCUUUCCCUUUUUUCAUUUUACCUUUCUUUGCAAAUUUAUGUACUUGAAUGUUAGGAAGAGAGAGAGG
Ochotona princeps (American pika) is the source of this 484-nucleotide long non-coding RNA. RefSeq lists it as uncharacterized. NCBI's taxonomy places the organism in Eukaryota, Metazoa, Chordata, Mammalia, Lagomorpha, Ochotonidae. The transcript has 3 exons. The record is from RefSeq and is a predicted model, not a curated record.